Molecule: long non-coding RNA, 257 nt
Organism: Oncorhynchus gorbuscha (pink salmon)
Lineage: Eukaryota; Metazoa; Chordata; Actinopteri; Salmoniformes; Salmonidae
Exons: 3
Source: RefSeq, a predicted model, not a curated record
GGAGAGAUCUGGGAACGCAGUGAGGAUGCCAGUGCAGCAGAUCUCCGUGGUCCCCGCUCGGGAGAUGGCCAAUAACGGCCGGAGCGCCCCUCGCUCCAAAGACAAGACCGAGAGUAUUAAAGGUCCAGGUCGGUCAGGCAGUCGAUCCAGCAACAUCUUGAAGGCCAGCAGUUCUACAACAGGAUUGGCUCCUGGCAGUGUUUCGAGGACAACUCCCUCCUCUCAGGACAUCUGCAGGUGAGACUGUUACCCAGCGG